RNAcentral lists this ribosomal RNA (484 nucleotides) under uncultured bacterium. RNAcentral describes it as "partial 16S ribosomal RNA". It matches the Rfam family "Bacterial small subunit ribosomal RNA", at positions 29 to 507 of the family's 1533-position model. The record is from RNAcentral.
AGUGAACGCUGGCGGCAGGCCUAACACAUGCAAGUCGAGCGGCAGCGCGGGGGCAACCCUGGCGGCGAGCGGCGGACGGGUGAGGAAUUCGUCGGAAUCUGCCUUUUUGUGGGGGAUAACGUAGGGAAACUUACGCUAAUACCGCAUACGUCCUACGGGAGAAAGUGGGGGACCGCAAGGCCUCACGCAGAAAGAUGAGCCGACGACCGAUUAGCUAGUUGGUGGGGUAAAGGCCCACCAAGGCGACGAUCGGUAGCUGGUCUGAGAGGAUGAUCAGCCACACUGGGACUGAGACACGGCCCAGACUCCUACGGGAGGCAGCAGUGGGGAAUAUUGGACAAUGGGCGCAGGCCUGAUCCAGCCAUGCCGCGUGUGUGAAGAAGGCCUUCGGGUUGUAAAGCACUUUUGUCCGGAAAGAAAUCCCUGGAGCUAAUACCUUCGGGGGAUGACGGUACCGGAAGAAUAAGCACCGGCUAACUUCGUG